GUGCCCAGAUUAAUUUCCUAUGAACAAAGUUAACCUAUAAUUUCAACCAAAUAAAAAGCUGACCUUAUAAGAAUUUUGAUAGGCAACAUAAUUCAGUUUCUGUGGAGAAAACACAACUCUUGCAAAUCUUCCAUUCUCAUACAUACAUGAUACAUGCUCUCAAUCGCUCGUUACAACUACUGCUGCAUCCAAUUCCCACAAAUUUCAAACUCCUAACUUUCUCUCUCCUCCCUGAAUCAACCCAACAAAUUGCAAUCUCAUCCAAAACCUCAAAUAAAUCUUAUUCAACUUCAAUGGAAGAAACCCAUUUAACUAAUGACCCAAAAAUCUCAUCAUCCUCCCAAUACCCAACUCCAUUAUCUCCGCCAUUCCCACUUUAUUCCAAGCAAAUUGAGCUUAACAGAGCCAUGGCUGCUUCUUCAAGGUCCAGUCUUUUUUCUCUCUCCAGAAAUGACGUCAUCUUCGAGGAUCAAUGGUUGUUGGUUGUGAAUAAACCCUCUGGGAUUUACUGUGAGAGUGUUUUGUCUUCUGCUCCUCACCUUCUUCAACAAUCUUCAAGUUUAGAUUCGGUCGAAGCUUCGGAGUUUCAUCUUGCUAACAGGCUGGAUCGCGAUACAAGUGGUGUAAUGGUUAUAACCAAAUUACACAAAGUAGCUAGCAAGCUUGUCAAGGCAUUUACUGAUCACAAGGUCCAGAAAACUUAUAUUGCUCUUUGUAUAGGGUCUGCACCAAAUUGGGACAGGAUCAGGUUAAAAUCUGGCCAUGGUAGAUCGAAAUAUGGUGCUUGGCGUGUUUAUGCUGCAUCAGAUGUUGGUCGCACACUGCCUGGUGGAUCUGUGGUGAGGGACAUGGAUACCUUAUUUGAGUUGGAUAGGGUCGUCCAUUUUGAAGAGGCAUCUGAAUGUGUGAAAGAUCAAGAAAAAACUAUCAUUGUUGAGGAAAAAUCAUUGACAGAUGCUAACCAAGGAAGGGAUGUGAUUUUGGUUAGAGCUUUUCCGAAGAGUGGAAGGACACAUCAAAUCCGGUUGCACUGUCAGUACCUUGGAAUGCCUAUUAAAGGAGAUGUUAAAUAUGAAGGAGUCGGUGAGUGGAAAGGGGAGACGUGUGAUGGCCAUUGUCUUCAUGCAGAGAGUUUAUCAUUGGAACACCCUGUUACUGGUCGUCCAGUAUUAUUUGAGGCACCAUUGCCUCUGUGGGCAACCCAAGCAAUGCAAUCGUGAUAUUUUAAGAUUGUGUUGGACCAAGUCACUUGCUGAUUUUUAUGCCGAUAGUUCAAUUGGUAGUUUGGCAUGUUUGAUAUCAUAAUUCAUAAAUGACAGUCUGAUGGAAACCUGGCUGGGACAUUUGGACUGUACAUUUAAGAACUGAAAGAAACAGUUCGCCUAAUUACUCUUACUUCUUGUGGUGAAAAAGCCUUGGUUUUAAUACCUGCAAUUUGAGCUGGUGACUUCGUCUGCAAAUGAUCUUGAUGAGUUCCAGUUGAUCAAAUGAGUUGGGGCAUUGGAACCGACUCCUGGAUGCUAUAAGAAACUUCUCAAAUUCUUUUAAGCCUUAUAUAGCUUUCAUGCAGAGCCCUGAAGGCUAAAGAUGUUCUUUAUUUAGAACUCCAGUCUCAGUAGUGUCAGAAACAACACUGGUAUUCGCUGUUCAAGCUUCAUAUUGUGCCAUUAGUCAAACUCUGAUACUAGAAUUGCUGCCUUUCAUCAUAGCAUUUAUCAUUGUGGCAAUUAAUACAAAGAACAUGGCAUACUUUUUCCUGGCCCAUUUGCAUGGUGUGGUAUGUGCUAGGAUAAGCUUUUCCAUUGAAACUUUGCAGGCUACCCUUUGCAAAGUUCCGAUUUCAGGACCUUGAAUUCUUCUGCUUUCAGAUAUGAGUACAAGGGUGCUAUUAAAUGAGGAUGCUGGAAUAGGAAGGGGGGCAACUUCAUUUCCGUUGGCGGAAUAUUUCUUGGGCAUAUUCAUGUUUUUAUUUGGUAUCAUCAUCUUCCAUUUCCUCGGUUCUGAGAUGGGAUUCAGGUCUUGAAGUUCAGUCAUGCGCUUAUAUUGAGGAUCAUAUGUGCAAGCCAGCAUUUGCUAAUGCUCCUCAGUGCGAUUGUAUUCUCUAUCGGGGAUCUCACUUCGCCCUCUCAGGCUUCCUUGGAACGAAGAUUUGCAAUGUAUGCCAAUGCUAGAAUAAGCAUGGAGCCCUUUCAUAAUUGCCUUCCAAUCUAAAUCUGAUGCUGUCAUGGGAUUCCUUCUUGCUGCUGACAGACUUUAGUCACACGUCUUAACGAAAAUUGCUGAUGUUGCCUGUUGGUGCUGAAUUGUUGGUGAUUACAAUCUGCUGACGACGUAUGUAGGAGAUCAGGGAUUUGCAAUCGGAUCAGCAAUUCCAGUAUAUUUCACUCUCUUUGGAGCUUAUGUAAGCAGAGCUGCUGGCCUACAUUGGAUGCCUUAGUAAGGAAAAGCACUGAUAGACUAGAAAGUGAGAAUUUUACCUAUGAAAAUAUAAACAAUCAGUUCUCGAACUAAAGCUCUUGUCACUAAAACUCCACUUUAUCCUUCAUAAGAGUUAUAUGAUUGCAACAAUAGUUUUUUAUGUCUUGCAAAGAUAAUAAAUAUACAAAUUAGGAUACUUUUUUCCAUUUUUUGUUACUUGGGAUAAAAGUAAUAGCAAACAAGUUGGAGUAGGUAAUCUAAUCUUUCAUUAAAAAAAAAAAGUUGGGAGUAGGUAAACGAAAGUUUUAGAUCAUCGCAUCCUCAAUUGAUUUUAUUGUGAUCCCAUGUGAUUUUUUUUCAUUUUACUCUAAAAAAAAUGUGAUUUUCUUACAUUUUGUGAAGCAUAAAUUAGUUAACUAGUCCAGUAAAACUUUUCAUGUUUCUUUUUCAAAAAAAAAAAAAAAAACAGAGUACCGUGAAAAUUACAGACCUAAAU
This is an RNA transcript of Beta vulgaris subsp. vulgaris (sugar beet), 2914 nucleotides long. It is a transcript of the gene named RNA pseudouridine synthase 1, with no coding region annotated. The transcript has 4 exons. NCBI's taxonomy places the organism in Eukaryota, Viridiplantae, Streptophyta, Magnoliopsida, Caryophyllales, Amaranthaceae. The record is from RefSeq and is a predicted model, not a curated record.